AUAAAGACUGUGAAGCAGAAAAAGACCUUCUAUUUUGGUUUAAGAGAGUUGACGGGCGGUGCGAGUCAAUACGGAUAAAAGGUGCAUAGCUCUCUGCUAAGUCGCUGUUUUGAAUAGAAAUUAAUAGGAACAGACGUGUUGCUUCGUUAUCGGCAGAGGCAUUGAUUGAUGCUAAAGGGCAGGGAAUUACCUUGCUGAAGUAGGGUGGUACAGCGUGAUAUUAACGCCCCUAUA
Molecule: non-coding RNA, 234 nt
Filed under: Eubacterium sp.
Lineage: Bacteria; Bacillati; Bacillota; Clostridia; Eubacteriales; Eubacteriaceae
Description: T-box sequence
Rfam family: T-box leader
About the family: Uncharged tRNA acts as the effector for transcription antitermination of genes in the T-box leader family. T-boxes are found upstream of many aminoacyl-tRNA synthetase genes and some amino acid biosynthetic genes usually in Gram-positive bacteria.
Source: RNAcentral